This is a non-coding RNA of Odocoileus virginianus texanus, 211 nucleotides long. NCBI's taxonomy places the organism in Eukaryota, Metazoa, Chordata, Mammalia, Artiodactyla, Cervidae. The record is from RefSeq and is a predicted model, not a curated record.
GGGAACAUUCCCUAAGGCUCCUCUCCAUCUGUGUGUCCUUGGCGAUCUCCCUGCCUUGGUGAAGAGAAAGCAAAACGUCUUACCUGGAGAAUUGUGGUGAGAACCAGGAGAGGUCAUCUAUGUAUGUGGCAACUGAAACUGACUUGCUCCCUUCAGAGAAGAGAGCCACAUGAGAUUCUGAACCAUGAAGGACCCUGCUCCCAUGCCUGGU